Long non-coding RNA from Capsicum annuum, 1040 nucleotides. RefSeq lists it as uncharacterized. Lineage: Eukaryota; Viridiplantae; Streptophyta; Magnoliopsida; Solanales; Solanaceae. The record is from RefSeq and is a predicted model, not a curated record. The transcript has 4 exons.
UAUUGUUUCCUUCUAUGACUUUUUAUAUUUUUUUCUUCGGCUUCUUGUAAUCUACUUCUUCGACUUGAUAAAGUUUUAUGCUUCAGACCUUGAGAACUAGAAAGGGAGGGCAUAAAAGCUACUUUGGAAAGUACAAUCAUGGAAAAAGGGUAAAAUUGAUAAAAGAGAGGAGGAAACAAACAAUUCAUCGCAGGUGGCAGCUUUAAGUUCAUUAACUUUGGUUGACCAACUCGAAUAAAUAAAUGAGGUGAAGUUGCCCCAGUUUUAGGUAGCAAGCACAUACUACAAAGAGCGCGAUUGCAAGAAGUCUAUCUUCUUAAGACCUUGAUGCAUAUGGUUUCGAGGUGCAGUCAUGUGGUCCAGCAUUAGAAUCUCCUAAAGCGUCAGAUUUGGAAGAGCAGUGGAGGAGGUACGGGCCUCUUUUUUUAGCAAGAGCAUUUGGAGGUUGAAAGCGUCAACAAACUACCUUAUUGGGGCCCACUGUUGCUUUGACAUUCCAAUUUUUGUUUCUGUUAGUAAUAUAUCUUGAUGAACAAAUUGGUUAUUCUAUUCAACCUUACUCUAAGUGGAAAUAGAUAUUACAUAUUUUAGAGAUCAUAACAUUUUCUUUCCUCUUUUCCUUCCUGGUUCUUGUUACAGUUAGAUUUAAUUAUAAUUAUCCAAUUUUCGUCUCACUAUAAAUUAUUGUUGCGUGAGACAUGUGACAUACCAUUAGAUAAUUCUAUGUUACAUAUUUUCAAAUUAAAAGAGAGGGAGAGUAUAUUAAAAACAUAUACGGAAUAAUCCGAUUAAUAAGAAAUCUCGCAAAAAUAUUGUUGAAUAGGUGAAUCAAAGGGUCUUGAUAUUUUAGCCAAUAAUCAGACAAAUAAGGCAUCAAAACAUGUACUAGUCAUCCGUUUAACACCAAUUUCCCAAACGAUAGUUCAAGUAAAAGAAAGAGAGGGUGUAAAAUGUAUAAAGCUGAAAAUUGUAACAACAUGCAUCACGGCUUCUAGCAUAUUAGAUCAAGGGAAGAUACUGAAACUAUCUCAAAUGCCCAA